UUAAGCGACUAAGCGUACACGGUGGAUGCCCUGGCAGUCAGAGGCGAUGAAGGACGUGCUAAUCUGCGAUAAGCGUCGGUAAGGUGAUAUGAACCGUUAUAACCGGCGAUUUCCGAAUGGGGAAACCCAGUGUGUUUCGACACACUAUCAUUAACUGAAUCCAUAGGUUAAUGAGGCGAACCGGGGGAACUGAAACAUCUAAGUACCCCGAGGAAAAGAAAUCAACCGAGAUUCCCCCAGUAGCGGCGAGCGAACGGGGAGGAGCCCAGAGCCUGAAUCAGUGUGUGUGUUAGUGGAAGCGUCUGGAAAGGCGCGCGAUACAGGGUGACAGCCCCGUACACAAAAAUGCACAUNUGUGAGCUCGAUGAGUAGGGCGGGACACGUGGUAUCCUGUCUGAAUAUGGGGGGACCAUCCUCCAAGGCUAAAUACUCCUGACUGACCGAUAGUGAACCAGUACCGUGAGGGAAAGGCGAAAAGAACCCCGGCGAGGGGAGUGAAAAAGAACCUGAAACCGUGUACGUACAAGCAGUGGGAGCACGCUUAGGCGUGUGACUGCGUACCUUUUGUAUAAUGGGUCAGCGACUUAUAUUCUGUAGCAAGGUUAACCGAAUAGGGGAGCCGAAGGGAAACCGAGUCUUAACUGGGCGUUAAGUUGCAGGGUAUAGACCCGAAACCCGGUGAUCUAGCCAUGGGCAGGUUGAAGGUUGGGUAACACUAACUGGAGGACCGAACCGACUAAUGUUGAAAAAUUAGCGGAUGACUUGUGGCUGGGGGUGAAAGGCCAAUCAAACCGGGAGAUAGCUGGUUCUCCCCGAAAGCUAUUUAGGUAGCGCCUCGUGAAUUCAUCUCCGGGGGUAGAGCACUGUUUCGGCAAGGGGGUCAUCCCGACUUACCAACCCGAUGCAAACUGCGAAUACCGGAGAAUGUUAUCACGGGAGACACACGGCGGGUGCUAACGUCCGUCGUGAAGAGGGAAACAACCCAGACCGCCAGCUAAGGUCCCAAAGUCAUGGUUAAGUGGGAAACGAUGUGGGAAGGCCCAGACAGCCAGGAUGUUGGCUUAGAAGCAGCCAUCAUUUAAAGAAAGCGUAAUAGCUCACUGGUCGAGUCGGCCUGCGCGGAAGAUGUAACGGGGCUAAACCAUGCACCGAAGCUGCGGCAGCGACGCUUAUGCGUUGUUGGGUAGGGGAGCGUUCUGUAAGCCUGUGAAGGUGUGCUGUGAGGCAUGCUGGAGGUAUCAGAAGUGCGAAUGCUGACAUAAGUAACGAUAAAGCGGGUGAAAAGCCCGCUCGCCGGAAGACCAAGGGUUCCUGUCCAACGUUAAUCGGGGCAGGGUGAGUCGACCCCUAAGGCGAGGCCGAAAGGCGUAGUCGAUGGGAAACAGGUUAAUAUUCCUGUACUUGGUGUUACUGCGAAGGGGGGACGGAGAAGGCUAUGUUGGCCGGGCGACGGUUGUCCCGGUUUAAGCGUGUAGGCUGGUUUUCCAGGCAAAUCCGGAAAAUCAAGGCUGAGGCGUGAUGACGAGGCACUACGGUGCUGAAGCAACAAAUGCCCUGCUUCCAGGAAAAGCCUCUAAGCAUCAGGUAACAUCAAAUCGUACCCCAAACCGACACAGGUGGUCAGGUAGAGAAUACCAAGGCGCUUGAGAGAACUCGGGUGAAGGAACUAGGCAAAAUGGUGCCGUAACUUCGGGAGAAGGCACGCUGAUAUGUAGGUGAAGCGACUUGCUCGUGGAGCUGAAAUCAGUCGAAGAUACCAGCUGGCUGCAACUGUUUAUUAAAAACACAGCACUGUGCAAACACGAAAGUGGACGUAUACGGUGUGACGCCUGCCCGGUGCCGGAAGGUUAAUUGAUGGGGUCAGCGCAAGCGAAGCUCUUGAUCGAAGCCCCGGUAAACGGCGGCCGUAACUAUAACGGUCCUAAGGUAGCGAAAUUCCUUGUCGGGUAAGUUCCGACCUGCACGAAUGGCGUAAUGAUGGCCAGGCUGUCUCCACCCGAGACUCAGUGAAAUUGAACUCGCUGUGAAGAUGCAGUGUACCCGCGGCAAGACGGAAAGACCCCGUGAACCUUUACUAUAGCUUGACACUGAACAUUGAGCCUUGAUGUGUAGGAUAGGUGGGAGGCUUAGAAGUGUGGACGCCAGUCUGCAUGGAGCCGACCUUGAAAUACCACCCUUUAAUGUUUGAUGUUCUAACGUUGACCCGUAAUCCGGGUUGCGGACAGUGUCUGGUGGGUAGUUUGACUGGGGCGGUCUCCUCCUAAAGAGUAACGGAGGAGCACGAAGGUUGGCUAAUCCUGGUCGGACAUCAGGAGGUUAGUGCAAUGGCAUAAGCCAGCUUGACUGCGAGCGUGACGGCGCGAGCAGGUGCGAAAGCAGGUCAUAGUGAUCCGGUGGUUCUGAAUGGAAGGGCCAUCGCUCAACGGAUAAAAGGUACUCCGGGGAUAACAGGCUGAUACCGCCCAAGAGUUCAUAUCGACGGCGGUGUUUGGCACCUCGAUGUCGGCUCAUCACAUCCUGGGGCUGAAGUAGGUCCCAAGGGUAUGGCUGUUCGCCAUUUAAAGUGGUACGCGAGCUGGGUUUAGAACGUCGUGAGACAGUUCGGUCCCUAUCUGCCGUGGGCGCUGGAGAACUGAGGGGGGCUGCUCCUAGUACGAGAGGACCGGAGUGGACGCAUCACUGGUGUUCGGGUUGUCAUGCCAAUGGCACUGCCCGGUAGCUAAAUGCGGAAGAGAUAAGUGCUGAAAGCAUCUAAGCACGAAACUUGCCCCGAGAUGAGUUCUCCCUGACUCCUUGAGAGUCCUGAAGGAACGUUGAAGACGACGACGUUGAUAGGCCGGGUGUGUAAGCGCAGCGAUGCGUUGAGCUAACCGGUACUAAUGAACCGUGAGGCUUAACCUU
This 2901-nucleotide ribosomal RNA is filed under the name Escherichia coli. Its description in RNAcentral is "bacterial LSU rRNA". It matches the Rfam family "Bacterial large subunit ribosomal RNA". The record is from RNAcentral. Lineage: Bacteria; Pseudomonadati; Pseudomonadota; Gammaproteobacteria; Enterobacterales; Enterobacteriaceae.